Molecule: long non-coding RNA, 1431 nt
Organism: Astatotilapia calliptera (eastern happy)
Lineage: Eukaryota; Metazoa; Chordata; Actinopteri; Cichliformes; Cichlidae
Source: Ensembl
CAGGUGUGCCGUGGAAGAUUAUCUUGUUCCAUCUGAUUAAGUGACCGGCGUGAGUAACGGGCAGAACAAUUACAUUCUCUUCCACUAGAGGGCAGUACAACUACCUGCUCUAAUAAACGGGUUGCCAACUGCCAGUAAAACAGAAGAAGACGAAGAAGAAAUUACAUAAUAGUCAUGUUGCGAGUGCGAUGACGCAGCGCAUAAUAGCAAUCGAUAAAAAUUUGAAAUGAAAAAGUAGUCAGUCUGACCUGAGUCUUGGAGAAAAUUCCGACCCAAAUGAAGGCCCAAGCAUGAGUAGUGGUCAGACACCAAAAACGGUGUACUGGCUGAUUCUAAUAUACCUGGUGUGCGGGGGGGGGGGGGGGAAUGAUCAGUAUGCUUUUUGUGACAUUUUUGUUUGGUGGUGUGAUUUUUCUAAUGUGAAAUAUGUGCCGUGGCUCCAAAAGGUUAGUAAAUGCUGCUAUUGGUGACAAUAAAAGGCUGUUUUAUUUUAGGAUAGAUCCAGGAUUUUUUUUUUUUUUUUACGGAUGACAUCUUUGGCAAUAGGAGGCAUAUUUCUAGGAUAAUGAAUAAAUUAUGUGACAUAUUGAUCCUAUUCUUUCCUGUCUUUUGGUUUCUUGUUAUUGUUAGCUCUUUAUUGAUUAUGGAUGCAUCAUACAUAGAAGUAGCCUAUUCCCACAUUACCCAAAUGGUUGUCUCAAAAAUAGACCAGAAGUGGAACACCAUAAGAGAUCGCGGAACACUGUGUUUGUUGUUACUGGUACUCAUUGGCGGCAUUUGCCCUUGCCAAAGCCUCCAACGCAAAGACAUCCACUAAUUUCAUUUACAGCCACUCUCCAUAGUGUUUUGGGACAAAAGCACAAUUUUUGUAGUUUUCCCUCUAUACACUAUCAUAGUGGAUUCAAAAUCAAACAAUCAGUGUGUGACUGAACUACAGACUUUAAUUAUUGGGGGGGUUUACAAAAACCAUUUAAAAAUAAGAGCCAUGCACCUUCAGAGGUUCAGAAUUGAUGGGACAGCAGACUGACAAGCAGUUUUAUGGCCAGAUGAGGCCUCCUCGCUAGUUAUUUUAUGACACAUGAAACAAGAAUAACAUCAGACAUUGUGGCUCAAGAGUUUGGUGUGCGCCUUGUAAUCGGAAAGUUGCCGGUUCGAGCCCCAGCUCCGACAGUCUCGGUCGUUGUGUCCUUGGGCAAGACACUUCACCCGUUGCCUACUGGUGGUGGUCAGAGGGCCCGGUGGCGUCAGUGUCCGGCAGCCUCGCCUCUGUCAGUGCGCCCCAGGGCGGCUGUGGCUACACUGUAGCUUGCCAUCGCCAGUGUGUGAAUGGGUGGAUGAUUGUGUAUAGUGUAAAGCGCUUUGGGGUCCUUAGGACCAAGUAAAGCACAAUACAAAUACAGGCCAUUUACCAUUGAUUAAAAAGCAUUGGAU